GAGAUUUGAGAACGCGACCAAGUGGAGAAUGUUGGAGCCAGAUUUUAAAAUCCUUGUCUUCCUUCUGCGUGCUACUUGAUCUAAAUGAGAUACGGCAAAGUCACAGAACCUGUUUUUAUGUUUUUGCCUGAUUCAUACGGGCUUCUCCGGUGAAGAUGGGCCUGAAGUAACGCUUGGGUUGCUUCUGACGUUAUAACUCAUCCUGUAGCUGCAGCAACCGUGGUCCUUGCAACCUCAUAAAAAUGUUGCCAGCAUUGUUUCGAUAGUGCUGCUUAAUUCUUGGAAGGCCUCUUUGCUUUCUUCCCUGAGGUUCUUCGGACUUCACACAUUCCAGCAGUAGCUCUCUCAGCUCCUGUCCUGCACAGCUUUGAAGUGCUGGACACAGCCCUGGUGAUGGCUUUCUGAGGAUGACACGAUGGAGGCUUCUCCAAUAGCUCUAAAACUGCGGUGUGGAAAACAUUCGGCAGCCUCAAAGAGCGGUCUUGUUGACCCCAACUAUAUCAUUUUUCAUCAAAAUCAUUCUUGUAAAGAAUGACCAGGCAACACUCUUUGAAAAUUGGAGGCCAUUUGCAGCUGCUCUCUGUUGAGGAAAGUGAAUAAUAGGGUGCCCUCAAGGAAUUGCAAAGGUAUCACUCAACAGAAACUUUCGUGUCUGAAGAAAACUAGAUCAUUUUAUCAUGUUAGAGAUUUCAGUGACUUGUAUCACCAAGAGGAGGACCAUCAGCAUGCAGUGGAGGUCUAGGCUUCAGACAUGUGAGGCACACUGAGGAGCAGCUUUAUUUGCAAGAGUCCUAAGUUAGUGGCAUGAAAGCACUGCCCUGGAAGCGAUGGAGCAGCAAGUGCUCUACCCACAUGGAAGUCUUUGGGACCUGCACUUCAAUGAGCGCAGAGAGGAAAAGGAGAGAAGAACCAACACAACUGAAGCACCUACGAGCGUCAGGCACUGGCCCAGCUGCCAUGGACCCCCGAGUUGAAGGUCGUAUAACCUCAGCCUGCCCAAAUGAACCAAGCACACAACCACAGGGGGAACCCAAGAGUUCCAGUGGGAGAGCUGGAAGAGGAGGGACCAAUGUGAGAAGUGGACACCAUAUGGCAGGAUCCAGGAUCCAAUCAGACUGAGCCCUGGGGUCACCCCAUGGAAGGAUCCAGUUGGAUCAUGCCUCCUGGCAUCACCUACUGCAAGAUCCAAUCAGAUCACACCUCCUUACCCUAUGCUUAUAAAACCCCACCCAGCCCCC
RNAcentral lists this long non-coding RNA (1238 nucleotides) under Homo sapiens (human). RNAcentral describes it as "hepatocellular carcinoma up-regulated long non- coding RNA". Lineage: Eukaryota; Metazoa; Chordata; Mammalia; Primates; Hominidae. The record is from RNAcentral.